Long non-coding RNA from Peromyscus leucopus (white-footed mouse), 1174 nucleotides. RefSeq lists it as uncharacterized. The record is from RefSeq and is a predicted model, not a curated record. NCBI's taxonomy places the organism in Eukaryota, Metazoa, Chordata, Mammalia, Rodentia, Cricetidae. The transcript is spliced from 4 exons.
UCUGUGGUGUCUGUGCACGUUGGUAUGGGCUUGCCUACAUGCAGAGGCGGGAAGAGGAGGGCAGUGUUUCGAAGUAUUGGUCUCUGCGCUGAUCUCCUCUGACAGGGUCUCCUGGUGAACAUCGAUCUCAUUGAUUUUUCUGCCGGGGUUUUGGCCAUUGCUGGGUUUGCAGGCUCACGCUGCCAACCCAGCUUUUCUGUCCCUGUUGUGUGUGUUGAGUCAGUGAUGAUGCUCCAGAUCAGAACUCACAUUCUCACCCCCGGAGCCAUCAUCGAGGCCAAGUUAAUCCUUUUUAAUUGGGCAAAUUGAGAGGUAACAGCUCACCAAGAAACAGGAAGAAAUUGUAUCAUACAUGCACACCAACCCUAAACAACAACAACAACAAAAUAUGGAUUCGUUUUCUCAGAAAGUCAGAUUGGUCCUACCACACAGUCUCUUGAGUGGAGAAACUCGUUUUUUAUUAGCUCAUUGGAGCAUCAGUUCAGGAUUGCAGAUACUCUAAACACUCACCAUGAAACCUGGGUCUAAAGAGGUCUUAGGGUUCGCCCAGUACAAGUACUUUACAGCAGGGGCUCCACUUUGACAAAUGCUUUACACAAAUGCACUCGGGCCCACACCUUUCUGACGACUUUGGGCAGCAGGGAGUGGGGUGUGUUGGGAUUGUCCAAGUUUUGCUGUCCUGGGCGCUCGGCCCUGUCGGCUGUGGCCCACCCUCCAGGAGCUCCCCAUCCCCCCACGAGCCCUGCCUCAGUCCCGGCAGCACCCGCGAGCCCUAGACAACAUGGCUGGAGCAGGCAGCGACGGAGAGGCCCUGGCUCCCCGGAUGCAGAUCAUAGAGAUGAAUGACAAGUUAAGAAACAGGCAAGAAAUUGUGAAUGGACUGAACAUAUUUUUGGAAGAAAAUGAGAUUUAAUAUGAGAAUUAAGAAGUUUGGUAUAAAUACAAGUAAAGAAUUCAGAAAAUCACCAGGGGCUUCUUGCUUUGGACUGACUGUGUCAACUGGUAUGUGCUGCCGCCAUUUCAUAUUGCAUGAGUCCUACUGAGCAUGUGCUUAUGAUGACGUCUGCAUAGUAGAGCUGUGAGCAGACAUCAGCGUACAGCUUGCUUCUUUUGCCUUUUAUUAUUGAAUUUUUUUAGAUGAGCCUCUAGUGAAUUAAAGGUUUAUUUUAUUGUA